This 503-nucleotide ribosomal RNA is filed under the name uncultured bacterium. RNAcentral describes it as "bacterial SSU rRNA". It matches the Rfam family "Bacterial small subunit ribosomal RNA", at positions 28 to 526 of the family's 1533-position model. The record is from RNAcentral.
GAUGAACGCUAGCGGCAGGCCUAACACAUGCAAGUCGAGGGGUAACAGCAAAGCUUGCUUUGGCUGACGACCGGCGCACGGGUGCGUAACGCGUAUACAAUUUGCCUUGUACUGGAGGAUAGCCCGGAGAAAUCCGGAUUAAUACUCCAUAGUAUUAUUAAUUCGCAUGUUUUAAUAAUUAAAGCUUCGGUGGUACAAGAUGAGUAUGCGUCCUAUUAGUUUGUUGGUAAGGUAACGGCUUACCAAGACUACGAUAGGUAGGGGGCCUGAGAGGGUUAUCCCCCACACUGGUACUGAGACACGGACCAGACUCCUACGGGAGGCAGCAGUGAGGAAUAUUGGGCAAUGGAGGCAACUCUGACCCAGCCAUGCCGCGUGAAGGAAGAAGGUCCUACGGAUUGUAAACUUCUUUUAUUUGGGAAGAAACUUCUCUACGUGUAGAGAACUGACGGUACCAAACGAAUAAGCACCGGCUAACUCCGUGCCAGCCGCCGCAGUAAAAC